Molecule: long non-coding RNA, 377 nt
Organism: Zingiber officinale
Lineage: Eukaryota; Viridiplantae; Streptophyta; Magnoliopsida; Zingiberales; Zingiberaceae
Exons: 2
Source: RefSeq, a predicted model, not a curated record
GCAGUAGUGUAGCAGAUUAGUACCAGUUCUGACCUACAAUACCUAGCCUAGGAUAUGGUUUCAGCCAGGUGACAGGUAGAUGAUUGAGAAGUUGCUCGAAGAGUCCUGACUGUCAGCCCCACGUCACACUCGAGGAUAGUUUUCUGUUUGCUUUUGUUAUUGCUUGGGUGGUAUGUUGAUUAUGUGUAUUUUGCUUUUCAAUAAGUCGAUGUGAAUUUUGGGGUCAAGUCUGGUGAUUACAGGUAAUUUUGUUAGUGUCGUUGUUGGUCUUACAUUCGUAUUAUUCUGUGUUUUUCCGCUGUGCAUGUUUCCAGUCGUGUGGGCUGUUAUUAACUGCGUGGUUGUGCUUAUAUCCAGCCGUGUGGGCUGUUGUAUUA